This 366-nucleotide ribosomal RNA is filed under the name uncultured eukaryote. RNAcentral's name for it is "partial 18S ribosomal RNA". It matches the Rfam family "Eukaryotic small subunit ribosomal RNA", at positions 592 to 976 of the family's 1831-position model. The record is from RNAcentral.
CAAUAGCGUAUAUUAACGUUGUUGCAGUUAAAAAGCUCGUAGUUGGAUUUCUGGAGGGAGCGUCGGCCCGUAUUUACGAGUGCGUGACGUCUCUGUCCAUCCUUGCGGGAAGGCACGGCAUUGAUUUGUUGUGUCGGAUCGCAUCAUUUACUGUGAAAAAAUUAGAGUGUUCAAAGCAGGCUUUCGCUUGAAUACAUUAGCAUGGAAUAAUAAGAUAGGACUUUGGUGCUAUUUUGUUGGUUGAGCCUAUAGUAAUGAUUAAUAGGGAUAGUUGGGGGCACCUGUAUUGCGUUGUCAGAGGUGAAAUUCUUGGAUUUACGCAAGACAAACAGCUGCGAAAGCGUCUGCCAAGGAUGUUUUCAUUAA